This 307-nucleotide long non-coding RNA is filed under the name Numida meleagris (helmeted guineafowl). RNAcentral describes it as "lncRNA (ENSNMEG00000002372.1)". The record is from RNAcentral. Lineage: Eukaryota; Metazoa; Chordata; Aves; Galliformes; Numididae.
GCAGGCCCUGGUUUCUCUGAUGUUGGAUAACCCUGCUGUUCUGCUGAGGGUCUCUUAUCCAAACAGAACAGCCUUACAACACGCUUUCCAGCCCAUAAUGCUAUACCCACACUAUUCGCAACAUUUAAAAACUAUUGCAGUUUUGCAAAUCACAUCCAGCCCGGCCUUGAACACCUCCAGGGACGGGGCAUCCACAGCCUCUCUGGGCAGCCUGUGCCAGCACCUCACCGCUCUCUCGGCUCCCUUCAGGUCCUGGAAGGCUGCAACGAGGUCACCCCGCAGCCUUCUGUUCUCCGGGCUGAGUUAA